This is an RNA transcript of Notolabrus celidotus (New Zealand spotty), 3068 nucleotides long. It is a transcript of the gene named rho GTPase-activating protein 19-like, with no coding region annotated. The record is from RefSeq and is a predicted model, not a curated record. The transcript is spliced from 13 exons. NCBI's taxonomy places the organism in Eukaryota, Metazoa, Chordata, Actinopteri, Labriformes, Labridae.
ACGUCGGUAAGUUUCAGCCAAUCAAAACGCAGUGGGCGGGACGAAAACUUGGGCAGCGGAAGAUUCAAACUGAAGAUGGCGGCGGCUGUUAAUGAUCCCCACAACAACCACAAACUGAACAGAAGCGGGACUAAAUGCAGUGUUUCUAACAGCCGGGGGGAAACAGACGCGAGCCAGCCUGUGAUAUUUAACCCAGACUUCUUUGUGGAGAGGCUGAGACACGAGCAUCCGCAGAUAUUCACGGAAUUAAUCCUCAGCAACAUAACUCGACUCAUAGAUCUUCCAGGGGAUGAGUUUGCUCAGCUCAACGGAGAGGCUGAGCCAAAGGUGCCCUCCACCACUGGCUUCCUACGCUCCCUGAACUUCCUGAAACGGAAAGACAAAGGAGUGGUGUUUGGCGCACCUUUAACUGAAGAAGGAAUAGCCCAGAUCUAUCAGCUCAUUGAAUACCUGAGUAAAAACCUUCAUGUGGAGGGGUUGUUCCGUGUGCCAGGCCACAGCCUAAGGCAGGCGGCCCUGAGGGAGAUGCUAAAUGCUGGCUCAGAGAUAGAUCUAGACGCAGGCGACUUCCACCCCAAUGAUGCGGCCACGUUGCUCAAAGCCUACCUGGGAGAACUGCCAGAGCCUCUGCUCACACACAGACACUACUGUGCUCACCUGAAGAUUGGAGAGCUGACUCGCUUUGAUGAAAAGGGGGAUAAGACAAAUGUACCAGACAAGGAACGCCAGAUUGAAACGUAUCAGCUCCUUCUCAUGCUGCUCCCAUCAGCCAACCGCAGUUUUUUAAAGCUGCUGCUGGACCUGCUUUACCAAACAGCUCGCAAUCAACACGUCAACAAGAUGUCUGCUAUUAACCUGGCCACAAUGUUUGCUCCUCACAUCAUGUGGCCUAAGAAUGUGAUGGCAAGUGAUCUGCAGGGACACAUAGAGAAACUGAAUAACAGCGUAGCAUUUCUCAUCAGGCACUCGCAAAGACUGUUCAAGGCACCUGCAUAUAUCAAAGAAUACACCUGCAUGUAUUACACAGGAUUAAAAAGGCUUCAAUCAAAGGAUGACUCUGCGCUCUGUUCUGGGACUAAAGACAAGGAGACCAUGCCAGCGGUAACAGCUGCCUCCCCUUCUCCCUUAAUGAGAACAACGGGAGCGGAGGUCAGCAGCACCUGCACUGCCAGGUCUUCUGAGACUCAGAGUUACACUGAAUCUGCUCUCAGAGAGCUGUACGAGCAGGUCAACAGCAUGCCGGAGUCUGCCAAAAAGAAGAAACUCAUCAGACAGUUUGAAAAGCAGCCUUUGCUGACACCUUCGGCUGAUUCUCCGACACCUUUCAUCAGAAAACACUGGCGUUCACGCUCUUUAGGUGGAAUGAUUAAGAGGAAAGUGUUGGGAAGCCAAUCAUCUACAGAGAAAGAAAACAGCAGAGUCCUCCCGGCAGUGCAGCCGACAGCAAUAGAAGGAAAAAAAACCCACUGUGAGGCGCCCCUCCCACCAGAGAAGCAUGAAGAGAUGUAAGGAAAUGAAGAGAGGGAGAGAGAGAGGGAACGAGGAGUUAUUGAACUCUGGUGAUGUGAAGUUUCAGUGAGGUAGGAGCCACUUCAGUGUCCAAUCAGUGAGUGAUAAUUGAUACAGUCAGUGAAAAGACGGCUGCUCUCGUGUACCCUCGCAUAUCGUUCCUCCGAUGUCCCUCCUCUCUCCUCAGAGCAGCGUUGAGAGCUUUGAAAUGCUUCCUAGCAUGGUGGGACUGAUUAAUCACCUUUAACAGAAGGUUCUCUUCAUCCCCGGGAAAACAAAGUCUGACUGUUACUAAAGGGAGUUAUAGUCUUCUUAAGCUGUAAUUACAAACGGUGCAACACUAGUUUUGUUUGAACACCGUGUUUCCCUCGAUACUUAACCUGUUUUUUUUUCCUCUCAGAAAGUAAAGUCUGAGUCUGAGAGGUAAUUUAAAAGGAAGUCAACCAAACUUCUUUGCAGUGUAGUCAACUGUACUUAAGGUCAUAAAAGUUAAACACUGAGGAUGUUACAUGCGUCAUUUUAAAUUGAUGCAAGUUUUCACUUUUCUUACCCAGGCCACAGGAGUCCCAUAUAACUUAACCAAUAUUAAUUGUUUAUUUAAAAUGCUCUUUGAAAUGCAACAUGGAUUUAUACCUUUUAAUUUGAGGGUGUUAAGCUUUCUCAUUCACUGAAUCUUAUUUAAUUAUCAAACCUUAUUGUAUUUAUUUUUAUUAUGCUGGGUGUUUUCAAGUCCUUGAAUCCAGUGCAUUAAUAGAUUUUGAUGAGCAGACUUAUUUAAAUUUAACUUAAUUUGGAAGAAGUGUCUUAGUUAGACUUGCGGUGUCAGUGUAGACUUUUCAGGACAAACUUACAAAGAUGUGCCUUAAAGUGAAUAUAUCUUAAGUUUCUGUUAAAUGCAAUUUUUUAAUUUUAUUUUAGAUACCAGACAGCUUUAAGAAUAUGCUAAAAUGUGAGUUUCUGCUGAAACGUCACCAUAAGACGGGGAUUAGUAGAGAAAGAACUUAGGAUGGAAGAAGCUAGUUGAAGGCCAAAGCCUGUGUACAUAAUAUCCAUAUUCUUUGUGUUUGCUUCUACUUAAGCCUUCGUCUUAAUAUGUCAAAGCUGUGAUAGUUUUAAAUACUGAUGCUUGUGUUUUUAUGUUAUAGUUCCUCUCAGGCCAGUUUUGAUUUUUAUGCAACUUUUAUGUGUUUACAAAGCUUUAAUAUGCAUUUAUGUCUAUAUAGUUAGCAAUGUUUUAGAGCAAAGAUUUUUAUGGCUUUACAUUUUUAUUCUAUUUUUUAAAGUUCAAUGGUUUGUUCAAAUGAAGAAGGGUAAUUUGUUUGCCUUCUGCUGUGGUUAUAACCCAGUGUUUUCUGGGUGAGUUUGAGCCACUUUUAAAACUUCCUUGUUGUCUUACUCUUCAGUAGCAGUUUCCACUUCAAUGGUCCCCCAAACAAGCUGUAACAAUCAAAAUAUAAUGUGAUGGCUGACGUUGUCAACUCCACUGACGGUGUAAACUGAUGAUAUUGGUGAUACUGUGAAACUAUGCAACCCACUGUAAUUAAAAGACAACAAGCUGA